CUCACCUGUUCUUUCUGAGACAAAUCAUCUGCCAGGUUUCCGCCUCGGGACACCCAAGCUCAGCACAGACAGCCUAGCAGCCUGGGUGACAGGAUCCCAGGGGACAGGAUUCUCUCCUUGCCAUGGGGAUGAGGACAAAUUCUCCCUUCAUCCUUGAGAUUGGACUCCCGCCACACAUCCUGGAGGAGCCUACAGAGAAGCCGGCAGGUCUCCCUCACCUGGAUGGUGCCAGCGGGUGGCCUGGACCACCCAGAGGCCCUCUCCUGCACCUGACAGGAAGCCCCUGGGGCAUACGUCUCCCCUGCCACUUCCACUGUGGCCACUGGAAGUGUGGCAGAGAAAAUAGCUAGGACAAAAAGAAGUCAAUGAUUUCAACCAACGGAAUUUCUUUGUCCUUUGUAAAAAUCAACACAUGAUCUGUUACUGAUUGGGAUGUGAAAUAAAACUAAAAAUAACAGCACACUGAGCCUGGCUCAGGGCUCAGCUCACCUUUA
This 494-nucleotide long non-coding RNA is filed under the name Homo sapiens (human). RNAcentral describes it as "OVOL1 antisense RNA 1". Lineage: Eukaryota; Metazoa; Chordata; Mammalia; Primates; Hominidae. The record is from RNAcentral.